AUUUUUUCCCUUACCGGGGACAACACAAUCCCCUUCAUAUUUCAUUUUCUUCUGAGGUACAGAGUACUGCUGUUGAUGGUUUAUGCUAUAAUCAUCACUGUACUGGUUGUCUUGACAAGAACUGUACUCCACAAGGUCCAAGAAUAAGGUUAAGCAACAACCAAGAAGCUGCCUCAUCUUCAUCUUCUUCAUCCAAGGUUGUUUCCUCUGCAUCCCUCAUGAAUCCAUCAUCCUCCGUGGCAUCUCCAGCAUGAGUGAUCAUCACGGGACCUCCACCGCCAUGGUCAGUGUCUGGAGGGCCAUAAAUGGUGCCUAGAAGUGGGACACGGUGGUGGCGCCGUGCCAAUGGGUUGGCAGCGUGGAUGUCUGCGUCACAAUCAGCACAAAGAGAAGCUGCAUCUGCAUUACCCCAGAACACAGCAGGAGCACGCUGGCAAGAGUCACACAACCACAUGUGCUCGUGAACGGAUGUCUCACGGUUUGUGGCAUGCAUGCAACCUUGAGAACUAGCACUGAGGUAGGCUGAGUUGGUCCGACAGUUGAUGGAGCAUGGCACCGAAUGGCAGGUAUGACAUACACUAGCCCAAUUAUGAGUUUUGGUGUUGGUGCUACCACCAAAAUCUAAAUCCCCACAGCUGCUUUCCUCUUUCGACAUUUAUGUUUAAGUUUCUUUUCAAAAAAAAAACACUUUCUUGUUCUCAAAUGUGUGUUUCGGGGGUCUGCUUGGGAGCUUGGGUUUGAACUUAUGGGCAAGUGAGGGAAGGGAAAUAACAGUGGUCAGUGGCCAACUACCAAAUUGAAGAGAGAAUCAGGAGACGACACUUGUCAGCAAACAAUGGGUUGGAAAAGUUGCUAUGUUAUCUUGUGGUUGGGUUUGAUUCUGGUGGGACCCAAGGUGCAAUUGGAUAUUCUGUCAUGUGGGUACGGGUAGCUUUGGCUUUUGGAAUCAGUUAAAAGUAGUUGCUUUGGGAGUUACAGCUCACAAUAGGAAUUCACAGUUCACACUCGCCUGCUCUCAUGUAGGCAACUUAAGCAUGUUUGGCAAGUGUAUAUAUGCUUCCAAGAAACAAGGAGACCUCUGCUUUUAGUACCUUUGUCUGCUUACUCAUGUAUUCUUGUUUUAACGAGGUUGUUUUCCUCGCCUAGUGACCCUAGCCGGCAAAGGGCCACAAGGAGGUAAACCGGCAUAGGUUACCCAUAGCUGACCUAUUCUUAUUUCUUACUAAUUGCGGUGCAGUAUUUAUUUAUCUUGCUGAAAAUGUUUUUAAAA
Ipomoea triloba (trilobed morning glory) is the source of this 1270-nucleotide long non-coding RNA. RefSeq lists it as uncharacterized. The record is from RefSeq and is a predicted model, not a curated record. The transcript is spliced from 2 exons. Lineage: Eukaryota; Viridiplantae; Streptophyta; Magnoliopsida; Solanales; Convolvulaceae.